RNAcentral lists this transfer RNA (91 nucleotides) under Bacilli bacterium. RNAcentral describes it as "tRNA-Ser". It matches the Rfam family "tRNA". Rfam says of the family: Transfer RNA (tRNA) molecules are approximately 80 nucleotides in length. RNAcentral also lists the same sequence under 2 other names. Lineage: Bacteria; Bacillati; Bacillota; Bacilli. The record is from RNAcentral.
GGAGCAGUACCCAAGUUGGUGAAGGGGCUUCCCUGCUAAGGAAGUAGGUCGGGUAACUGGCGCGAGAGUUCGAGUCUCUCCUGCUCCGCCA